GACGAACGCUGGCGGCAUGCCUAACACAUGCAAGUCGAACGAAACCUUCGGGUCUAUGGGCGCACCUGUGCUUAACGCGGGGUGACCUGCCCUUAGGUUCGGAAUAACUCCCCUUGAGGGGUCCUAAUACCGGUGAAUGUCUUCGGACCAAAGAGUUAUCGCUUUUGGGUGGGCGCUCGUUGGAUUCGUUAGUUGGUAGUGUAAAAGCCGACCAAGGCGACGUUGCAUAGCUGGUGUGAGAGCAUGAUCAGCCACACUGGGACUGAGACACGGCCCAGAGUGCUACGCGAGGGAGCAGUGGGGAAUAUUGGACAAUGGGCGAAAGCCUGAUCCAGCAAUGCCGCGUGAGUGAUGAAGGGCUUAGGGUUGUACAGCUCUCUUACACGGGAUGAUAAUGACAGUACCGGGAGAAUAAGCUCCGGCUAACUACGUG
This 433-nucleotide ribosomal RNA is filed under the name uncultured bacterium. RNAcentral describes it as "partial 16S ribosomal RNA". It matches the Rfam family "Bacterial small subunit ribosomal RNA", at positions 28 to 507 of the family's 1533-position model. The record is from RNAcentral.